AGCCAGUUGCUUGAUUCUGUUCUUGAACAGGAGGGUUUCCAGAUUGGUUCAGUAUGUGGAAAGAAAAAAAGGAAAGCAAUAAAGCUUCAUAAAUCUGACCUACACAAUGAUGUUAUUCGCAAAGAUGAAAAUGCACUUUCUUUUCUUAGCUCUAUCCUUGAUAUUUUGCUACUAAAGAAAGACAUAGAGAAAACAUCUCCUCCCAUGACCAUGCCAAGCAGCUCAUAGCAGCAACUGCUUCCUCUGCCCCCAGGAGACCCUAUUUUACAACAACAAUCACACCAACCGACUACGACCGUGGUUACCCUUAUCUGAAUAUCCCCAGAGAAUUUUGGAGAUCAAACGAUAUCAUAACUAAGGCAGCAUAAGCUCUCAGAGAUCCACUGAAUAGGUGGUGGCCAGUGAAACUUAGAUUACCAAGCGGGGGCAUCGGUUAAGCUGGGGAUGUGGUUGGCAUGAGUACUAUGAAUCCAAGAAGCUCAAGGUAGGAGAUCCUCUUCGUCUUUGAGCUCAAUCCCACCUCACCAGAAACUCCAAAUCCUGUUCUAGAUGUUUGAACCCUUCCUCCACAGAAGAAGAUACUACUUACAUUUUGGAUGGUUGAUUCUCCGUGAUUUUUUGUUUUUGGUUAUGAAUGUUUUUGAAUUUGGAAAAAAUGUGGUGUUUGCUCGAGCAGAUUCUCUGAUCUACCUUAUUAAUCAUUUCUUUGGCCGGUUUGUCUACU
Molecule: long non-coding RNA, 724 nt
Organism: Vitis riparia (riverbank grape)
Lineage: Eukaryota; Viridiplantae; Streptophyta; Magnoliopsida; Vitales; Vitaceae
Exons: 3
Source: RefSeq, a predicted model, not a curated record